ACCAAGAUCAGGGCACAAAACAGUGCCAUUGGAAGAGUCUUUUUUGGGUUUUCCACCUCCCCUGCAAUAGUACUGAUUGAGUCCCAGUAGUUCAGGUUCCAAAAGAGAGUGCUCAAAUACAAACUCCAAUUCACAUCCUUUUCUAUCACCAACCAUCUGGAGGGCUUCAACUUUGGAAUCGAAACGAGUCCCAUAAUUACAAAUGGAAGGAUUGAAAACAAACCCAGCAGAACGGAAGCCCAUCCCACAAUGGUUAAACCCCUGUAGUUCAUGUAAGUGAGAACUACAAUCAAAGCCAAUACCGCUGCAAUUCUUGGUAAGCCACCACUUAAAGCAGGGACAGUGGGACUCAAAUAGUCCAGAAACAGAAGUGGGUAUAGAGCAUUGUCAAUAACUCCACUAAACCAUUUCAUCCAGCCUAGCUGAAACCCCCAAUAAGGCCCCAAAGCAGACGACACCCAAACCACAUACCCACCAUUUUCAGGGAACAUGGUGCCCAUUUCAGCUGUGAUUAACGCCUCAGGAAUGCUCCAUAUGAAGGGGAAGAUCAAAAACCCGAGCAAGGCCAGAAGAGGGCCUGCAGCUCUCACAGCGUCCUCAAUGCCAAAUGCACCCCCUGAAACCUCAUAGAAGAUGAGGAAAACAAGUGGUAAGACUGAAACUUUCUUGAAGUUAUCUACUCCAAGAGGAGCUACUUCAUCAACAUCCACACCCACAUAUUCCGCACCUUUGCAUUCCCCCAUUGCAGGAGCCUCUUCCUUUGACGUCUGCACUCAAAUUCAAGUUCUCAACAUAAUAAACAUCGGGUUUUAAUAUAUUUCAUAAAUAAUUAAUUAAGGUGGCACUUGAAUUUUUUUUAAAUAUAAAUUUUUAUACAAAAUAUAAUAAUUCUUAUGAAAAAAGCAUAAAUUUGACUUGUGCAAUUAAAAACUUUUCUUUUAAUUUUAAAAUUUAAGAAAGUAAUAAUUCUUUAAAUUUUAAAUAUUUUAGAAAGUGUUUUCAAGCACAUAACAUUGAUACAUGCCUUUUGUACAAAAAUUCUUUUAUUUUAAUUAUAUUUUAUUUUGAUGAAAAUGAAAAUUAAUGGGAGUGAAUUAUAUAAAGAAUUUUAUUAUAAUAAAAUAAAUUAAAUAUUUUUUUCAAUUUAAUUUUCAAGUCCUUUAUUGAAUUUGAAAAUCACUCAUUAAAUGCUAAUAAUACUUCACUAAACACUUCUUUUAAAAAUAAUAGUUCAAACAAAUUAAGAACCCAUCUAAUAAUAAUUUUAAGAAUCGUUUUUAAUUUUUACACUUGAAAAUUUUUAUCAUUUAAAUGUUAAAAAAAUUAAAAAUAUUUUUUUAAAAUUAUUAUUAAACACAUUUUUAGUAUAAAUUAAAUACUAAUUAAUUAGUAUCAAAAAAAAUUUAAAUUUUUUUUCACUCAAUAUAAUUGGUAAAAACCAAAAAUGAAGAUUUUUAAAUAUAUAUAUAUAUAUAUAUAUAUAUAUAUAUAUAUGAAAGGUCCAAUAAUCACAUAUCCUACCAUAAUGAAUUAAUCAAUAAUUCAAAUUCCAAUUAAUAAAAUAAAAAUAUUAAAAAAAAAAUCAAUUUAACCAGAUCGAUUUUAAUAAAAAUAUUCAUGAGACCUUUUUCUUGACUAUAAAAAAAUUUCUAAAAUAUCUUAAAAUUUUAAAAUAAAAUAAAAAAUUGAAAAUUAUAAAGACACCACUGCGGCAGCAAGCAACUAUACACACCUCAACGGUUGGAGUCGGGACUCCGACGACAUCGUUUUGAGGAGCGCUCGGUGGACUCUCCAUUGCAACGACGUAGUUUUGAGAAGCGGGUGGUGGACUGUCAACUGAAACGACGCCGUUUUGAGAUUCCGCACUAUACCGGCGCUUCAAGGGAGAGCAAGGGGGAAGGAGACGACCUAGACUGAGAAAUUGGUCAUGGAUUGGCUCAUGAGACAAACUUCCUUUUAUUUUGGGGUUUUUUUUUUCUUAUUUCAUUAUUAUAUAAUUUUUAUACGUCAAAUUUGUUGUUUUUAGUCUAAAUUAUUAUUUUAAUUACAAGUGAGAUCAUGUUUGAAACACAUGCCUUUAACAACCAACCAAAACCAAUAUUAUUUCGUUAUUUAAUAAUAAAAAAGGUCUAAGAAUUUUAAAAACCAUCCUUAUUGAUUCAAUUUUCAAUUUUUGAUUUUCUUGUUUGUCAAUUGAUAUAAAUUGAAUCAAACCGACAUUCUAAUACUUAUAUAUAAUUAUUUAAUAUUUAAUAAGUUUUUUUUUAAAUUUUUAUAUUCGAUUCUAUUAAAGUAAUUCAUUAUUUUAUAUUAUAAUAAAAUUAAUUCUAAAUGCAUUCUAUAUAUUAUUAACAUCAAAUCCACGUUGAUUUGAAUUAAUUUUAAAAAUAAAUUAGACUUAAGUUAAAGUCCAUGACAUAUAUUUAAAAAAUAUAAAGCAUAAUCGAAGUCAAAGACAUUGAUUAUACCAUUAAAUUAGACCAAUUAAACAAACAUUAUAUAUUAAAAAAAUAAAACUUAUACCAAGCAAAUGACCUCAAUGUUACAAAAAUCACAUUUAACUAAUUACCAUUUGGUAGCACGUAGCAACCAUUCUACAUUUUUAAAUCACAAUGAUGGGAUACAAUUUUGACUAUAUUAUUAAGCUAAGGUAAAUAAGAUUGAUUUUAUCGAUUUUUGAGUAAAAAAAUAAAUUGAAUCAAUAUAAUUGGAUUACAUGUGAUAAAAAUCUAAUCGACUAGAUUUGAAAUUAAAAAAAAAAAAAUUUGAACGAAACCAAACCCUUUAAAAUCGGUUUUGUUUGGUUUUCAUCAAGGGAGAUUAGUGCUAAAGAGUGUUUCUAUUAAAGUAUUUAUUUUAGGAGUAUUUUUUAAAGAAUCACUUAUAAAUGCUUCUCUUAGGAGUAAGUGAUUUUUCUACUUUAAAUUUUUUUUUUUAAAUUUUGUCAAAUAUCUUAUUUUUUUUAAAAAAACAAUUUUUAUACUGAAGGUGCUUUCUAAAAGAAUUGCAAAACGGACUUAGCCAAAAACACUUUUGAAGAGAACACUUUCAUUAAAAGCCUUUCGAAUAAAAAACACAUCCAUUAAGAACCUUUUUCAAAACAAUUAUGAUUCUAGCGCUUUAAUUAUAACCAUUUUGUUAAUAGCAUUUUCAUUAGAAAUGUUUUUAAAGAUAAUUACUUAUUGUUUGGAUAUGAAUUAAAAAUUUGAUAGUGGCUUUUUGUAAUAUAUUAUAUAUAAAAAAAAAGUGAUCUUUUGAAAAGAAAAUCACCUACCAAUUGAUUGUCCACAUGAAUUAAUUCAAUUAUUCCUCAAAAUGUUAAAAGUGAUUUUCAAAAAUUUGUUAAACCCAAAAACACACUCCCAAGCAUCAGGAACCAUCCUUCCAAAAUAACUCCCAAAUAGAUUUUAAAAGCUUUUCCUAAUAUUCAAAAACAUUUUCUAACAAAAAUUAGGUAUGUAAUAAAUUUUUGAAAAUUUCUUUUUCAAAGUCCAAGGAAUCACUUAGUAGGUGAUUCAUUUAAAAUAAUAAUAAUAAUAAUUUGUUAUAUAAUAUAUUAUUAAAAUACUUUUUUUUUAUACUUUAUAUUUAAACAUUAAGCAAUUAAAAUGUUUUACUUCUAAUAAAAACAUUAUUAAUAAAAGUAUUUAAAAAAAAAAACUUUUUAAUAGUAAUCAGUUUCAAACAAACUCUUAAUAUUUUAGAAGUUUUAAUCAUAAUCAACACAUAAAGACCAGAAAUCUAAACUCCAUUUUAGACUUUGUAGCCAAGCAUAAGCUUUUUGUUUAGUUGUCAUUUUCCCUGGCUUGUUUAUCUUAUUGGUUUAUUAGUCUUUAUUCUUUGGAAAUGGAAGGAUUUCCAAAGUCUUCUUCCCGUGUUGAUGAAGUUUUAUAUAUUGCUUGACUUUCAACUCUUCACCCUCUUCAUUUGAACUAAUAAUAGUAAUAAUAAUAAUCUUGCCUUGUUGAUGAAGUUUUACAUCUUGGUUGACUUUCAACUAUUCACCCACUUCAUUUGAAAUAAUAAUAAUAAUAAUAAUAAUAAUAACAAUAACAAUAAAGUAUAGUGUUGGAAAUCAAGCCAGCAUCCUCUGUUUACUUCCCUAAUUAGUGUAAUGUACAACCUUUAUUAUAAUUGAUUUAGGAGUAAUUCUAGCAAGGUAGUUUAUUCACCUUCCAUGUAAGAGUAGUUUAUUCACUUCCCAUGUAAGAGUUUAUUCACUUUCCAUGUAAGGGAAAUUCCAUUCCGGAAUUGUCUCAUAUCUGUAGGCUAUUUAUUUAUGUUUUCAUUCAUUGUAAAGGGUGGGAUCACAGAAUGAAUUGAGGUGUUCCUCCAUAGUUUGUCUUCAAAUUUUUCUUCAAAUUCUUCAUGGUAUCAGAGCAGGUUUAAUCCUGUCUCAUCGUCUUCAUCUUUAGUCAGUUUUUUUUACUCAAUUCUAUUCUUCUAAUUUAUGCCUAAAUACGGUCCAGCCUUUGGAAUGGCUACCAACUCAUCAUCCUCUACUUCUGGUAUCAUCAUCUCAUCGUCUUCAUCCUCUCAUCAGAUGGAAACCUCUCAUCUUCCAAUCACAGCCCAUAAAUUGAAUGGGCAAAAUUAUUUGCAAUGGUCUCAGUCCAUAUUAAUGUUUAUACAGGGAAAGGAGAAAGAUGACUACAUCAUCGGAGCUUCGGCGGCACCAGAAACCACAACAUCAACCUACAAAAAGUGGAUAGCAGAAAAUAAUAUGGUCAUGUCCUGGCUAGUCAACUCUAUGACCGCUGACAUUGGUGAAAAUUUUCUGUCAUUUGAUACUGCCAAAGAAAUCUGGGACACUGCAAAAGAAACUUUCUCAGACAAGGAAAACACAUCUGAAAUCAUCCAGAUUGAAGGCAUCCUCCACAAUUUGCGUCAAGGAAACCUUACGGUAACUGAAUAUUUCAAUACUCUUACUCGUCUAUGGCGUCAACUUGAUACGUUUGAGGUUCAUAACUGGAAUUGUGUUACAGAUGGUUUUUUGUAUAAAAAGAUUGUCGAAGGGAAACGUGUGUUUAAAUUUUUGUUAGGUUUGAACAAAAAUCUUGAUGAAAUCAGAGGAAGAAUCAUGGGAGUAAAACCCCUACCUAGCCUCAGAGAGGCAUUCUCUGAAGUCCGUCGCGAAGAAAGUCGGAAAAAUCUCAUGAUGGGAUCCCAUCAACAACUGAAUAUGGUAGAAAGCUCGGCUCUUAAGACUCAAUUCGCUCCUUUUGACAACCGUCAAAAAAUUAAAGGAGGUAGACCUUGGUUUGAUCAUUGCAGAAAGUCGGGACACUCAAGAGAAACUUGCUGGAAGAUUCAUGGAAAGCCAGUAGAUUGGAAGCCACGUCAACCACUUGAGAAAGAAGGACGAGGCAAUCAUGUGGCUACCGAUGAACAAUCGCCACAACCUGAAGCUAGCCCUUUUAAUAAGGAGCAAAUGGAGAUGCUUCAGAAACUACUGUCUCCUCUUUUGUCAGUACAGUCACAAACUGGCUCAUCUUCCAACCAGGUCAUUGGUUCCGAAACCUUGGCUCACAGAGGUAAUUUUUUGAGUGCCUUCACUGCUGGUAAGAAACGUAAAAAACCUUGGAUAGUGGACUCAGGAGCAUCUGAUCAUAUGACGGGAGAUGCGACAAUUUUUGAUACAUAUAGCUCAUGUCCAAAUAAUUUAACAGUCCGAAUAGCAGAUGGUUCACUAUCAAAGGUUGUCGGAACAGGUUCAGUUGUGCUAUCAAGGGAUCUUACUCUCAACUCAGUUCUCCUUGUUCCUAACUUGGACUGUAAUCUAUUGUCAAUUAGUAAACUCACUAAGGAAAAGAGGUGUAUUACUAAUUUUUCCUCCACUCACUGUGAAUUUCGGGAUUUGGAUUCGGGGAAGACGAUUGGCAAUGCUGAGGAAUGCUCUGGACUCUACAUCCUUAAGGAGCACCACGAUCCACAAGAACAACCUCAAAUGAUAGUUGGUAGUAAUUCUUUUUCGGUUUCAUGUCAAAAUAACGAUAGUGCAAUUAGGUUGUGGCACUAUCGCUUAGGUCAUCCAAAUGUUAUGUAUCUCAAGCAUUUAUUUCCUUCAUUAUUUAAUAAAAAUCCAAAAUCCUUUGAGUAUGAAAUCUGUCAAUUAUAAAAGCAAGUCCGGUCUCAUUUUCCCAUUCAACCCUAUAAAGAGUCUAGUCCAUUCUCAAUGAUUCAUAGCGAUAUCUGGGGUCCGUCAAGAAUAAAAAAUGUAACUGGUACUAGGUGGUUUGUCUCAUUCAUAGAUGAUCACACUAGAUUAACUUGGGUAUUCCUCAUGAAAGAAAAAUCUGAAACGAGUCAAAUUUUCAAAAAUUUUAAAAAUAUGAUUCAAACCCAAUUCCAGUCAAAAAUACAAAUUUUAAAGUCUGAUAAUGCUAGGGAUUAUUUCAACUCCAUUCUAGGAGAAUUUCUAGCACAAGAAGGGAUAGUUCACUUAAGUUCAUGUGUUGAUACCCCACAACAAAACGGAAUCGCUGAAAGGAAAAAUAGGCAUUUGUUAGAGGUGGCUAGAUUCCUUUCCGACUACUCGUCUCAUCUCCACCGUCCCACCCAAAAUUUUCGGGUGCUCUGUCUUUGUUCAUAUCAAUCAACAACAUAGAAGUAAACUUGAUCCUAGGUCACUCAAGUGCAUCUUUCUUGGGUAUUCUUCAAAUCAAAAAGGGUAUAAGUGUUACUCUUCGGUCACAAGAAAAUUCUACAAUUCAAUGGAUGUCACCUUUUUUGAAACCCAGCCUUACUAUCCCAAAAACGAUAUUCAGGGGGAGAAUUCAACUCAGGAAUAUCAAUUUUGGGAUCUUGAGUCAUUCAGUGAGUCACCCAUCACCACUGAAAAUCACAUUCCUCCAGAGUCAUUUAAUCAACCCGAGUCCAUUGUUGACUUGUAGGAUAAGGAGCACAUCCAAGAGGAAACGGAGAAAAGAGCACUUUCUCAACAAACCCAUGAGGUAGAACCGGGUCCUAAUCCAAGCAAACUUCCAGGUAACAACGCUCCUGAUGGUACUGUUGAUUCUGAGUUAGAAAAUGAUAUUCUUAAUAUGCCCAUAGCUUGGAGGAAAGGAGUUAGAUCAUGCACUCAGCAUCCCAUUGGAAAUUUUAUUUCUUAUGAUAAGCUAUCACCUACGUUUCGUGCAUUCACUUCUAGCAUCACAGAGAUACAAGUUCCUCAAAAUAUUCAGGAAGCUUUCAAGUAUCCUAAGUGGAAGGCGGCAGUCAAUGAGGAAGUUCGGGCGCUGGAAAAGAAUGGUACAUGGGAAAUUACUGACCUCCCAAGAGGUAAGAAACCAGUUGGGUGUAAGGGGAUUUUCACAGUAAAGUACAAGGCAGAUGGUAAUGUGGACAGGUAUAAGGCUCGGUUGGUCGCUAAAGGAUUCACCCAAUCCUAUGGCAUUGACUAUCAAGAAACUUUUGCUCCAGUUGCCAAGCUCAAUACUGUUCGUGUACUUUUAUCCUUGGCAGCUAAUCUCGAUUGGUCGCUUCACCAACUUGAUGUGAAGAAUGCCUUCCUCAAUGGUGACUUAGAGGAAGAAGUUUACAUGGACAUUCCUGCUGGACUUGAGACGACAUCAAAUUUCAACAAGGUUUGCAGACUCCGAAAAUCCUUGUAUGGUCUCAAACAAUCUCCCAGGGCCUGGUUUGAACGGUUCACUAAGGUAGUGAAAGGGUACGGAUUCGUUCAAUGUCAAUCCGAUCACACAUUAUUUGUGAAACACUUCCCAGAAGGGAAACUGACAAUUAUCAUUGUAUAUGUGGACGACAUAAUUUUGACAGGUGAUCAUGAAGAGAAAAUUGACUUACUUAAAAAAUUACUGACAAAGGAAUUUGAGAUCAAGGAUCUUGGAAAUCUCAAGUACUUUCUCGGAAUGGAGAUUGCUAGGUCAAAGAAAGGUAUAGCAGUCUCACAAUGCAAAUACGUUCUGGACUUAUUGAAUGAAAUAGGAAUGCUAAGAUGCAAGCCGGCAGAAACACCUAUGGAUACAACUAUCAAACCGGAAGAAAGUGAUGGAAGUGCGCCAGUUGAUAAAGGAAGAUAUCAAUGUCUUGUGGGGAAACUCAUCUAUCUUUCUCAUACAAGGCCAGACAUCGGCUUCUCCGUUAGUGUGGUAAGUCAAUUCAUGAAUAAUCCAACCGAAAAACACAUGAUUGUUGUGAUCAGAAUAUUGAGAUACCUCAAGAUGACACCGGGAAAGGGUCUCUUCUUUCAAAGAACAACAAAGAAAGAGAUUGAGAUUUUUUCAGAUGCCAAUUGGGCAGGUUCAGUGACUGAUCGGAGAUCAACUUCAGGCUAUUGUUCAUUUGUCUGGGGGAACUUGGUUACAUGGUGAAGCAAGAAACAGUCAGUGGUAGCCCGUAGCAGUGCUGAGGCAGAAUUUCGUGCUAUGGCACAAGGUAUCUGCGAGGGAAUCUGGUUGAACAGGCUGUUAGAAGAAUUACGGGUUCCAUUGAAGCAUCCCAUGGUGUUAUACUGCGACAAUCAAGCUGCCAUCAGUAUCGCUAAGAAUCCAGUUCAUCAUGAUCGAACUAAGCACGUGGAGAUAGAUCGACACUUUAUCAAGGAAAAGAUUGAAGAAGGAGUUUUCAAAGUCAGCUACACUCCGACAAACUGUCAAACGGCUGACAUUCUCACAAAAGUUCUUGCUCGAGUUAACUUCGAAGAUCUGACAGAAAAACUUGGAAUGAUCAACAUUUACAACGCGGCUUGAGGGGGAGUGUUGGAAAUCAAGCCAGCAUCCUCUGUUUACUUCCCUAAUUAGUGUAAUGUACAACCUUUAUUAUAAUUGAUUUAGGAGUAAUUCUAGCAAGGUAGUUUAUUCACUUUCCAUGUAAGAGUAGUUUAUUCACUUCCCAUGUAAGAGUUUAUUCACUUUCCAUGUAAGGGAAAUUCCAUUCCGGAAUUGUCUCAUAUCUGUAGGCUAUUUAUUUAUGUUUUCAUUCAUUAUAAAGGGUGGGAUCACAGAAUGAAUUGAGGUGUUCCUCCAUAGUUUGUCUUCAAAUUCUUCAUAUAGAAAGAAAAGGUAUAUGUGAAAAGGUCUUGGAAAAUUUGAGGAAAAAAUAAUUGAAAAUUUUGAGAAAAAAAAUAUCAAAAAAAAAAGAAAGAAAAGUAGAAGAGAAAUGAGAAAUAAAUUUAAGUCAAUAAAUUAUUUUUAUAUAUUUCUUUAAACUUAUUUUAUUUAUUUUAUUUGAAAAAACAUAUUUUUAAUUAAUAUUAGUAACAUUUUACUUUCUUUUUCCUAAUAAAAUCAAACAUGAAAAAACCAUUAUAUUAGGUUAUGUUUGGUUCUUAAAAAACAUGAAUAAAAGAAAAUAAAAAACAAAAGGGGAAGAAAAGAAAAAGACAAGGAAAGAAAUCCUAAUAUAAAAUCACAAAUUUUAUAUAAAGUUAAAAAAUAACAAAUAUAAAAUAAAAUAAAUAAUAAUAGAAAUAAAUUAAUAAAGUAAAUAAAAAUAAAAAAUUGAGGUGAGAAGCAGAAGUGGUGGGAGGUUUAUUUUGAAUGGUUCAUCAUAAACUUGUCAGGUAAGCCGAUUUUGAACGUUCGAAGCCAAUUCAAAGACUAGUUGAUUCAAAGGGUCAAAGCGGAAUGGUGAUUGGUUGUUUCACUAAUCAAUUUCCCACCUCUUAUUUUCCCACGAAAAUGUCUAGAAAGGAAAAUAGGGGGGGAAAUUAGAAGGAAAUAAAAUAUGAAAGAAAAAAAAAAUUUAUAGUCAAUAAAUCAUUUUUAUAUGUUACUUCGAAAUUCAUUUAAUUUAUUUUAACUCAUCUAUAUAAAAAUAAAAUAAUUUAAAAAUAUAUAAGUUUUGAAUUAGUUUUAAUUAUAUUUGAUUUUCUUUUCCAUUUUUUUUUAUAAUAAAACCAAAUAUUAGAAAAUCAUAUUCCUUUUAAGGUUAUAUUUGGUUUUCGAAAAAAAUUUUAUAUACCGCUUCAAACUCAUUUAACUUAUUUUAAUUCUUCAAUAUAAAGAUUAUAUAACUUGAAAAUACAUGAAUUUCUAAUUAAUUUUAACUAUAUUUUAUUUUGUUUCAUAUUUUCUAUAAUACAACCAAAUAAGAGAAAAUAAUUUUCUUUAAUAUAUUUUUUCUUUUCUUAAUAAUUUUCGGAACCAAAUAUAAUAUACAUUUUUUUUUUCUUUCGUUAAUACUAUCCCUAAUUAUACCGUUUGAAAGAGAGGUAAUUAAAGAAUGAAAAAAAGAUAGUUAGGUUUCAACUACAAGGGGGAGCAUUAAGCUAAGAUACAUUAAGUUAAGAUUUGUCACGACUUCUCAUAAGCCAGAAGUUUAAUAAUAAAAACCCUAAAAAUAUUAUUUUUUGUAAAGGGUAUAAUUUAACUUAUACAAAAAGUUAUUUCUUAUUUAAUUAAAGUUGUAUAAUAUUAAUAUUAUCUUUUAAAAAUUAUAAGUUUGACUUUAGAUUAGUUCUCAAUGUAUUUACCCAUUUGCCCUUCCUUAACAUAUAAUAAAUUUAAAACAAUAUUAUUUUUUGAGUUUUUUUUUUUGUUAUUUAAAAAAAAAAAAACUACAUGAGUCAAAUUCGGGUUAAAUAGAUGAUAAGAAUGACAUAUAUUUUUCAAUCUUCCCUUGGGAAAAAGACUAAUUCCAAAAUUUGAAAAUUCCACUUCUUAAUAAUAUUUCCUUCGUCUUGAGCUCAAUGACAAAUUUCUCAAGAAGACACUAUACUUUCUAUUAUUGCCAAGUGUUCAAAGCUUCAAAACCCUUCAUAAACGACCUCCCAUUAAGGCAAUUGUGCUCAUCCAUCUGAAAUUUACACUCUUAGGCCUUGUUUGCCUACUUAGUUUUUUAGAACAUUUUUUUUUGUUCUCUAUAACAAAAAAAAAAAACACAUUUAUUUAGGAAUAUUUUUUUAGAAUAAUUUUUUGAUCGUUUUUUAGUUGUUUUCUAUUAUUUUCACUUGUUUUAUAAGGUUAUUUUAAUAAAUAAUUAUACAAAUAUGUAGAAUGAUUAAAUAUAAAACAUCAUAUAUAAACAUUAUUUUUAAAAAAUAUUUUAAGUUUCCAAACAUACUUUUUUUCUACAAAAAUUAGAGAAUAGUUUUCAAAAAUUGUUCUAAAAAACUAUUUUUCAGAAUUGUUUUAAAAAAUAAUUACCAAAUAAACCCUAAUAGUAACCAAAAAAACUUUUUUCAUUUUCUAUUUUUAAAAAUAGAAAACAAGGUAUUUUCUAUUUUUUUUCGUUUUCAUUUGCUUUCACUUAUUUUUAGAGGAUUAUUUUAAAAAAUAAUUAUACAAACAUAAAGAAUGAUUAAAAACAAAACACUAAAUAUAAUAAAAUAUUUUAAAAACAGAUUAAAAUUAUUUUAAGUUCCAAACAAACUUUUAUUCUACAAAAAUAGGGUGCAAAAAUAUUGGUUUGGUCAGGUUUUUUUUUCUAUCUCCCAAGGUUGAUUCCAUUUUCAUUUUCAUAUGCUCGUUCUGAGAUUGUUACCUGGGGAGAGUAUGUCAGAGGGGUUUCUGCUAAUCUGGGAAGGGUUUGUCGGGUUUCUGGGGAACGAAUCGAUGAAGUGAAAGACGAUCAACUGAAAACUAACUGAAGAAUCAAUAGGGCAACCUCAUUGAACUCAGGUGAACUUGUUCUACAGAACUAUUUUCUGAGAAACCAAACAGAAUAGAAACUUCAAAGAGUUCCCAGACACAAAAGAGAUUCAAGAAGACUAAGAAUUGAAGCAGCAUAGGAACCAGAACAAAUGAUCCUAGAUAUCGGUUUCGUUGAACAGUAAAGGACUUUGAGAAUGUGCCCACAAAUGAUCAUUUAAGAAAAACUCAGUUAAUAGUCCGAUUUCCAACAAAGAAUCACAGACUUAACUUCUUCCAGCCUCUGUAGACUUAAAACCUUCAUCUAAAUUUAGAGCAAAUGAACCAAACCAAUGCUUAAAACACGCAAAUCAAACCAACUAUCAUGAUUGGAAAUGAAGGGUUGUGACUUGUGAGCUAAUGUGUUCAUAAUUGAAGUUCCAUAAUGCAAAUGGUUUGAUACAUCUGAGUAAUGUAUACAUUCCACAUAUUAUUUCCUAAAAUCAACUACUAUCUAAUAUUUUUCAGGUUCUUAAAAAAGUACUAAAAGAGACACUGAUGCAAUUUUCUACUCAUGUUUGAUUCUAAGUUUUCGAUCAUCACACCUAUCUAUCAAGACUCUAAAAAUAGGGAUGAUAAAUAUGUAUUAGCUACAUACCUAUAAGCAUUCGAAGAAGAGAAAUAACCUAAUCAGAUACAAAGCCACAAUCACACCUGCUAGGUGUCCAUGGAGCCCUCUUCCAAAUCAUACUUUUUCGGUAUGCCCAUCCUGUAUUAGCACUUUUUGCUGUAGUAAUGGAAUUGUUGUUUCAUGUUAAUCCACUAGAGGUACGACGUUCUCAUUAUUUUCACCAUUAAGGUCAGGGAGAUUGGAACUCACUGAGAAUUUAAGCCAUUUCUUUCUCUCAGCACAUUUCAGACAAGGCUGCACCAGAAGUCCAAUGAUCACAACAGUAAGACUCACUACCACAACUUUGAGUGAAGAAAGAGCCACCGUGAUACAGAUCAAUAUGGUUGGAGGAAUACACAUAAGAAUAGAUCCAAUUGUCCCAAGAGGUAUCUUGUAUGGGCGAGAAGCAACUGGGUAUUUAAUCCUCAAUCGAACAAAUGCUAUGAACUCCAAAAUCAUUCCAAAACAAUACAAGAAGUUUUCUGCAGCUAUCGUCUCUUGAAAGCUCAUCCAUGAAAGCAAAAGCGCUCCAGAGGCUGACAAUAGAAUUCCAACGAGUGGGGUGCCAUAGCGCGACCUUUUGGCAAAGACACUGGGAAGCAUUCCCCGCUCUGCCAUCCCCAAAAGUUGGAAGGAAUCACUGCUCAUUUCAGCUAUAAACAUCCCCAGAUUCGACGCUGCAGCAGCCCCUGUAAUCCACCAACUCAACCAGACCCCCCCUAUCAUUUUGGCAACAUUUGAGAAAUGCCCAUCAGUCCAAGCCUCACGAUUAAGAGAAAGAGCACCAGUGCCAAUUAAUAGAGGGAAGAAAUAGCUGCGGACGACCAAGAUCAGGGCACAAAACAGUGCUAUUGGAAGAGUCUUUUUUGGGUUGUCCACCUCCCCUGCAAUAGUACUGAUUGAAUCCCAGUAGUUCAGGUUCCAAAAGAGUUUGGUCAAAUACAGUCUCCAAUCCACAUCCUUUUCUACCACCAACCAUCUGGAGGGCUUCAACUUUGGAAUCGAAAGAAGUCCCAUAAUUACAAAUGGAAGGAUUGAAAACAAAC
Molecule: long non-coding RNA, 13244 nt
Filed under: Vitis vinifera (wine grape)
Lineage: Eukaryota; Viridiplantae; Streptophyta; Magnoliopsida; Vitales; Vitaceae
Description: long non-coding RNA (VVIN_LNC000563)
Source: RNAcentral